ACGGGAGUACUCCUUCUAAGCUAAAUAUCACCACGAGACCGAUAGCGAACAAGUACCGUGAGGGAAAGUUGAAAAGCACUCUGAAUAGAGAGUCAAAAAGUACGUGAAACUGCCUAGGGCUCAAACCCGUUGAACUCGAUUAUCCUCGGCGGAGGUAUUCACUUGUGGCCGGGCCUCAGAAACCCCGCCACACGGCACUUACCUCCCGCCUGCGCGGACAUUGCGAUCCAUUACGAGAACGCUCUCGCAAGAGACAAUGCCCGACACCUGCCCCUUGGCGCAUGGUUGUUGGCUCCCGCAGUAGCGGCGCUCAGUUCUGAAGGCCUGCGUCGCGACCCGGGGCUUACUGCGCGUGGUGUGCAGUCGGGCGCGUGAUGGAUUCCCACGGACACCGUCUGGUAUGGCUUCGUCAUACACCCUCCCCUCGCGGGGCUGCACGGACUGUCGAUCGGCAAUGAACACAUCGAGGUACCUCCGGGACCCGUCUUGAAACACGGACCAAGAAUUCACAA
RNAcentral lists this ribosomal RNA (512 nucleotides) under Orthopodomyia anopheloides. RNAcentral describes it as "eukaryotic LSU rRNA". It matches the Rfam family "Eukaryotic large subunit ribosomal RNA", at positions 292 to 679 of the family's 3401-position model. Lineage: Eukaryota; Metazoa; Arthropoda; Insecta; Diptera; Culicidae. The record is from RNAcentral.